AGCUUGUCAUUCCUGGGUUUUAAUUGUUAGAAAUACGAAUUAAAGAACAGAUAUAACUAAUAUAACUGAGACAAUUAAUAAAUACAAUUUUCGAACCACUCCAAUAGAACAACGUUAACGGUUUUGAGUGGUUUAAGGUCUGACUGACAGUAACGUUAUCCGUAUAAGGGCCAUUUUAACGUAACGUUACAGGGCGGGAAAGAAAGUUAUCUACAGCCACACAUCCACUGUAUACCAAGUUAUGAUGAUCAAUUAUGAGAAUGCAAAAGGAUUGAUAGAUCAGUAAACAAACAACAAAAAGAUGGGUGCUCAUGGUGGCCUCCGAAUAAAUACAUGGACAGGCUGCUAAAGAGGGUCAGGAUGAUGGAGAUGCAAGAGUCAAAGACAGCACAGACCAAACACCAGGCCAGAAUUCUGCAUGAGUCAGAUUGAGUAAUUUUCACUCUAGAGACCCUGGGGUGACCACCAAGGACGAAUGCAAACUCCAGUGAGUGUCUCUAAGGUAGAUCCUAAUGCAGAUGGAUGGAAUGUUGAUCCGCCUAACAUGCAAGAUUUUCUGUACUGAGAAAUUUGGAUGACCAUCAAGACACUACGGAGGGCAUCCUUUAUUCAGUCCCUAAUGCAGAUGGUUGGAGUGUUGAUCCACCUAACAUGAGGGAGCACUCGUUUUGAGUCCUGAAACCCUGGGGUGACCACCGUGAACAAAUACAGACUGCAAAAAGGCAGUCUUGACGGUACUAGGAUGAAUGCAAAUAAAGACUAACCACCUGACUUCAGAGGUCCAGUCUCUUGUGGGAAGCAGGUGUUUGUUACCCCAAAUACGGAUGAAGAGUGACGAAGAGGAUGAUGAUU
Paramisgurnus dabryanus is the source of this 852-nucleotide non-coding RNA. The record is from RefSeq and is a predicted model, not a curated record. NCBI's taxonomy places the organism in Eukaryota, Metazoa, Chordata, Actinopteri, Cypriniformes, Cobitidae.